UACGAAGGGGGCAAGCGUUGUUCGGAAUUACUGGGCGUAAAGGGCGCGUAGGCGGUCCACUAAGUCAGGCGUGAAAGCCCUGGGCUCAACCCGGGAAUUGCGCUUGAUACUGGCGCGCUUGAAUCCAGGAGAGGUUGGUGGAAUUCCCAGUGUAGAGGUGAAAUUCGUAGAGAUUGGGAAGAACACCGGUGGCGAAGGCGGCCAACUGGACUGGUAUUGACGCUGAGGCGCGAAAGCGUGGGGAGCAAACAGG
RNAcentral lists this ribosomal RNA (253 nucleotides) under uncultured bacterium. Its description in RNAcentral is "partial 16S ribosomal RNA". It matches the Rfam family "Bacterial small subunit ribosomal RNA", at positions 524 to 776 of the family's 1533-position model. The record is from RNAcentral.